GGGGAUGUAGCUCAGUUGGCUAGAGCGCUUGACUGGCAGUCAAGAGGUCGUGGGUUCGAGUCCCAUCUUCUCCAC
This 75-nucleotide transfer RNA is filed under the name Emticicia fontis. RNAcentral's name for it is "tRNA-Ala". It matches the Rfam family "tRNA". From Rfam's summary of the family: Transfer RNA (tRNA) molecules are approximately 80 nucleotides in length. Lineage: Bacteria; Pseudomonadati; Bacteroidota; Cytophagia; Cytophagales; Leadbetterellaceae. The record is from RNAcentral. RNAcentral also lists the same sequence under 1 other name.